Molecule: ribosomal RNA, 274 nt
Filed under: uncultured bacterium
Lineage: Bacteria
Description: partial 16S ribosomal RNA
Rfam family: Bacterial small subunit ribosomal RNA
Source: RNAcentral
AUACGGAGGGUGCAAGCGUUAUUCGGAAUCACUGGGCGUAAAGGACGCGUAGGCGGGUUGGCAAGUCAGAUGUGAAAUCCUACAGCUUAACUGUAGAACUGCAUUUGAAACUGCUAACCUAGAGUAUGAGAGGGGGAGAUGGAAUUAGUGGUGUAGGGGUAAAAUCCGUAGAUAGCACUAGGAAUACCGAAAGCGAAGGCGAUCUCCUGGAACAUAACUGACGCUAAGGCGUGAAAGCGUGGGGAGCAAGCAGCAUUAGAAACCCCAGUAGUCC